This 406-nucleotide ribosomal RNA is filed under the name uncultured bacterium. RNAcentral describes it as "partial 16S ribosomal RNA". It matches the Rfam family "Bacterial small subunit ribosomal RNA", at positions 30 to 526 of the family's 1533-position model. The record is from RNAcentral.
AUUGAACGCUGGCGGCAGGCCUAACACAUGCAAGUCGAACGAGUGGCGGACGGGUGAGUAAUGUCUGGGAAACUGCCUGAUGGAGGGUGAUAACUACUGGAAACGGUAGCUAAUACCGCAUACCAUCGGAUGUGCCCAGCUGGGUUUAGCUAGUAGGUGGGGUAAAGGCUCACCUAGCCGACGAUCCCUAGCUGGUCUGGGAGGAGGACCAGCCACACUGGAACUGGGACACGGUCCAGACUCCUACGGGAGGCAGCAGUGGGGAAUAUUGCACAAUGAGCGCAAGCCUGAUGAAGCCAUGCCGCGUGUAUGAAGAAGGCCUUCGGGUUGUAAAGUACUUUCAGCGGGGAGGCGUUACCCGAAGAAGAAGCACCGGCUAACUCCGUGCCAGCAGCCGCGGUAAUUC